AUUCUAGGUGCAUUAAAUAUAUUUAUUCAUUUGUCCUUACAAUAACUCUAUGAGAGUUCUGUUUUAAUCCACAUUUUACAGAUGAGAAAGCAGAAGUACAAAGACAUCAAGCAAUGUACCAAAGGUCAUUUAACAAGAUAUGAAAGGAAGAAACAAAAGGAACACCAGAAUGGCAGAGAACAGUAGAAAAUACAUUCUUCACACCAUGAGAAAAGCCUGAGAGCCCUGAAUGGAGAUGAAGCCUACCUUCACUGUGUGUGAUUACUUCCAUUGGGUGGCCUGUCUCUCCCACUGAACCCCUGGUAUUUUAUGUUAACCCAAAGAGUCCAAGUCACCCCAGAAAAUUUGAACUUUCUUAGUUCUUUGAACUUAUGUCUCUAUAUUUUUUCAGAAUGAGCUAUCCCUAAUUGCUAAGUAUCUGAAAAGCAAAAUAAAGGCCAAAAUACC
Canis lupus familiaris (dog) is the source of this 447-nucleotide long non-coding RNA. RefSeq lists it as uncharacterized. The transcript is spliced from 2 exons. The record is from RefSeq and is a predicted model, not a curated record. NCBI's taxonomy places the organism in Eukaryota, Metazoa, Chordata, Mammalia, Carnivora, Canidae.